CAGCCCUGAGGAGGAGGUGUCCCCACAGCAAGCUUGAGGACAGAUGAGACUGUGGGCCCUUGCUAACAAGCCCUUGGAUGAGCGAGAAGACAGGAGGGGGAAGGAGAGAUUGAUAAAUGGAGAGGCCAUCAAAGAGGACAGCUAUUUGCCAUGCAAAAGGGUGUUCAUGAAAAUACUCCAGCUCCUCUACCAUCGCCAUUAUUUCAUAAGAGUAAGGCCACAUGGUGGGGACAACUUUUGAGACCUGUCCUAGAGUGUGAGCUCUAGUAGGGUGCCUGGCAGCCUGUGAGAACACAGCUCUAGCUGCUGCGGUUUCCCUGGAACCAGAACCCUACGGAUGCCGUUGAGAUGCUGGCUGAGCCGUUCUUCCACCGCCUGCCUCGGUUCCACGUCGCUGAGUCCCACCUCCUGGGAGCCGUGGAUGCUGAGAAUAUCAUCAGGAGACCCUCAGCAUUGUGCUGAGUUUAGAUUCACCAGGGACCUUCUCAGCUGGUAAAUCCCACUUGGAUUGGGAGCCUCAGAUUGAGAGCGCCCCAGGGCAGGGCCCGUUGGGUCUGACUCGGCUCCCCCAGCCCCGAUGCUGGUCUGUUUUGGAGGAGGGCUCUGAACUCCACUUGACAACCAGGGGGCAGGGAAGGAGUCGCCUGGAGUCUGUGAUGAGGUUCUCAGCUGAGGCUCUCAACCCACGGUCCCAACACUUCCCCCCGCCCCCCAGCCUCUUCCUACAAUUUGACACAGUUGUCAACAUCCCUUUUUUAUAAGGAAUAUUUUGUAAACACCCCUUUACUCUUCUGAAAUGAAAUGUAUACAUAACAGAACUGACCUGUGUUACCUAUAUAAAAGAAAAGUUACUUAUAACAAAGUAAGUUAAAAUAAUAGGCUUUUAAAUAUAUAAAUACACUGUCCAACCACACUAGCAGAAUCAAUGAAAUAGAUGCUGGCACUUAUGUGUGGAAUCGUCAUAAAUGUAUGUGUGGUUUUGUGAUGUGAUGUUUUGC
RNAcentral lists this long non-coding RNA (998 nucleotides) under Equus asinus (donkey). RNAcentral describes it as "lncRNA (ENSEASG00005024413.1)". Lineage: Eukaryota; Metazoa; Chordata; Mammalia; Perissodactyla; Equidae. The record is from RNAcentral.